Schizosaccharomyces pombe (fission yeast) is the source of this 667-nucleotide non-coding RNA. The record is from the annotation of a GenBank genome assembly. NCBI's taxonomy places the organism in Eukaryota, Fungi, Ascomycota, Schizosaccharomycetes, Schizosaccharomycetales, Schizosaccharomycetaceae.
CUGUAUGUCGUCGUGAGAGAAUAAGAAACGUAGAGGAUGUGUUUGUAAAUAACAAUAUGUAUGACAAUACAUAGACAGUCAUCUCUUUUCUACCUUUUCCCUCAUCCUCAUCCAUACUCAUAUAGUAACACUUAUACCUUUUACUCUCACUUUCACAUAUACUAACUAUAUUGUCUCACAUUCUUUCUAUACCUCUCCUCACUCUCAUUCUCACUCCUGUAGUGAAACUUCUAUUUUUGGCACUAUAACGUGCUACUCGUUUUUUCCAUAUGCUCUGCACGUUGUGCUCUUGACCAUUUAAUUCCAUGCACCCCACUUGGUACCCAAUUUCAUCCCCACUUUUUCGGUCAAGUACGACUUUCCACUUCAACCAUGCGAUGUGGUGGCACAAAAGUCCUAAAUGGAGGUACACGAGUUUUUUCUAUCGUUAAGCAAAAACACGCAACUGAACAAGUGCGCAAUCCUUCCGCAUGAUAGUGGAGUAGAUGAAAAAAACGGCAUCACACGAAGAAAUCCAAGCUUAUCUAUUUCCAGCGGAUUUACCAAUUUUCACCCCUUUUUCCAACAGGUCACACGUUGUGCGAUAUGGUUACUCCUCGUGCAUUUUUAAUCAAAUAGAUAUUCCGCACUAACGUUUUUGUCCGAAAUAACAUUUGAUUUAUCCAAU